GGGUAACCUCUCUUGAUGGCGAGUGGCGAACGGGUGAGUAACGCGUAGGGAUCUGCCCUUGAGUGGGGGACAACCCGGGGAAACCCGGGCUAAUACCGCUUAAUUUCUGAGGAAUAAAGUGUGCCUCUGCUUGCAAGCACACGCUCGAGGAAGAACCUGCGUCUGAUUAGCUAGUUGGUAGGGUAAAGGCCUACCAAGGCGAUGAUCGGUAGCUGGUCUGAGAGGAUGAUCAGCCACACUGGGACUGAGACACGGCCCAGACUCCUACGGGAGGCAGCAGUGGGGAAUAUUGGACAAUGGGGGCAACCCUGAUCCAGCAAUGCCGCGUGUGUGAAGAAGGCCUGAGGGUUGUAAAGCACUUUCGGAGGGGAGGAAGGCAUUUUGUCGAAUAGGCGAAAUGAUUGACGUUACCUUCAGAAGAAGCACCGGCUAACUCUGUGCCAGCAGCCGCGGUAAUACAGAGGGUGCAAGCGUUAAUCGGAAUUACUGGGCGUAAAGGGUGCGUAGGUGGAUAAAUAAGUUAGACGUGAAAGCCCCGGGCUCAACCUGGGAUGGUCGUCUAAUACUGUUUAUCUAGAGUAUGGUAGAGGGUGGUAGAAUUUCCGGUGUAGCGGUGAAAUGCGUAGAUAUCGGAAGGAAUAUCAAUGGCGAAGGCAGCCACCUGGGCCAAUACUGACACUGAGGCACGAAAGCAUGGGGAGCAAACAGGAUUAGAUACCCUGGUA
This 725-nucleotide ribosomal RNA is filed under the name uncultured Gammaproteobacteria bacterium. RNAcentral's name for it is "bacterial SSU rRNA". It matches the Rfam family "Bacterial small subunit ribosomal RNA", at positions 77 to 792 of the family's 1533-position model. The record is from RNAcentral. Lineage: Bacteria; Pseudomonadati; Pseudomonadota; Gammaproteobacteria.